GUAAUCGUAGGUCAGCAUACUACGGUGAAUACGUUCCCGGGCCUUGUACACACCGCCCGUCAAACCAUGAGAGUUGGCAACACCCGAAGUCGGUAGUCUAACCGCAAGGAGGACGCCGCCGAAGGUGGGGUUGAUGAUUAGGGUCAAGUCGUAACAAGGUAAC
This 163-nucleotide ribosomal RNA is filed under the name uncultured bacterium. RNAcentral describes it as "partial 16S ribosomal RNA". It matches the Rfam family "Bacterial small subunit ribosomal RNA", at positions 1338 to 1500 of the family's 1533-position model. The record is from RNAcentral.